RNAcentral lists this long non-coding RNA (7575 nucleotides) under Sinocyclocheilus grahami. RNAcentral's name for it is "lncRNA (ENSSGRG00000027119.1)". The record is from RNAcentral. Lineage: Eukaryota; Metazoa; Chordata; Actinopteri; Cypriniformes; Cyprinidae.
UUUCAAAAAUCCAGCGCUUCAACAACAGUUGCGCAGUCUACAACUUCAGGAUAUACAGCUUCAGAAACCACAACUGUACUUUCCACUCCAACCUCAGCAACAUCAGCUCCGACCACAUCUGAUUCUCCAGGUACAACAACGGUUAUAAAUUCAGAAACACUUGCUUCAACAACCAUGCCUACAUCUUCAGAAACGACAUCUGCAGCUGAAACAACAAAUACUGCAUCCACAACCACAACUGAGCCUUCCACUACUACAGCUGUAACCACAACAUCACUUGGACUCACAACAACUGAACUCACUACAACUUCAGAGAGUACAACAGCAGAAACCACGACUACAGCUUCAUCAACCACAUCUACAACAACAAACGAUCCAACAACAUCAACAGCCAUAACUUCAGAAUCCACAACUCUCACUUCAACAACAAUGCCUACAUCUUCAGAAACAACUGCACCUGUAACAACUUCAGUAACUACAGCAUCCUCAACUACUGAAAUUCCCACAACCACAGUUGUGAGUACAGAAACCACAUCUAUUACUUCAACAGUGGUGCUUACAACUUCAGAAAGAACAACAGCAGAAACCACGCCUACAGCUUCAUCAACCACAUCUACAACAACAAACGAUCCAACAACAUCAACAGCUGUAACUUCAGAAUCCACGACUCUCACUUCAACAACAAUGCCUAGAUCUUCAGAAACAACUGCACCUGUAACAACUUCAGUAACUACAGCAUCCUCAACUACUGAAAUUCCCACAACCACAGUUGUGAGUACAGAAACCACAUCUAUUACUUCAACAGUGGUGCUUACAACUUCAGAAAGAACAACAGCAGAAACCACGCCUACAGCUUCAUCAACCACAUCUACAACAACAAACGAUCCAACAACAUCAACAGCUGUAACUUCAGAAUCCACGACUCUCACUUCAACAACAAUGCCUAGAUCUUCAGAAACAACUGCACCUGUAACAACUUCAGUAACUACAGCAUCCUCAACUACUGAAAUUCCCACAACCACAGUUGUGAGUACAGAAACCACAUCUAUUACUUCAACAGUGGUGCUUACAACUUCAGAAAGAACAACAGCAGAAACCACGCCUACAGCUUCAUCAACCACAUCUACAACAACAAACGAUCCAACAACAUCAACAGCUGUAACUUCAGAAUCCACGACUCUCACUUCAACAACAAUGCCUAGAUCUUCAGAAACAACUGCACCUGUAACAACUUCAGUAACUACAGCAUCCUCAACUACUGAAAUUCCCACAACCACAGUUGUGAGUACAGAAACCACAUCUAUUACUUCAACAGUGGUGCUUACAACUUCAGAAAGAACAACAGCAGAAACCACGCCUACAGCUUCAUCAACCACAUCUACAACAACAAACGAUCCAACAACAUCAACAGCUGUAACUUCAGAAUCCACGACUCUCACUUCAACAACAAUGCCUAGAUCUUCAGAAACAACUGCACCUGUAACAACUUCAGUAACUACAGCAUCCUCAACUACUGAAAUUCCCACAACCACAGUUGUGAGUACAGAAACCACAUCUAUUACUUCAACAGUGGUGCUUACAACUUCAGAAAGAACAACAGCAGAAACCACGCCUACAGCUUCAUCAACCACAUCUACAACAACAAACGAUCCAACAACAUCAACAGCUGUAACUUCAGAAUCCACGACUCUCACUUCAACAACAAUGCCUAGAUCUUCAGAAACAACUGCACCUGUAACAACUUCAGUAACUACAGCAUCCUCAACUACUGAAAUUCCCACAACCACAGUUGUGAGUACAGAAACCACAUCUAUUACUUCAACAGUGGUGCUUACAACUUCAGAAAGAACAACAGCAGAAACCACGCCUACAGCUUCAUCAACCACAUCUACAACAACAAACGAUCCAACAACAUCAACAGCUGUAACUUCAGAAUCCACGACUCUCACUUCAACAACAAUGCCUAGAUCUUCAGAAACAACUGCACCUGUAACAACUUCAGUAACUACAGCAUCCUCAACUACUGAAAUUCCCACAACCACAGUUGUGAGUACAGAAACCACAUCUAUUACUUCAACAGUGGUGCUUACAACUUCAGAAAGAACAACAGCAGAAACCACGCCUACAGCUUCAUCAACCACAUCUACAACAACAAACGAUCCAACAACAUCAACAGCUGUAACUUCAGAAUCCACGACUCUCACUUCAACAACAAUGCCUAGAUCUUCAGAAACAACUGCACCUGUAACAACUUCAGUAACUACAGCAUCCUCAACUACUGAAAUUCCCACAACCACAGUUGUGAGUACAGAAACCACAUCUAUUACUUCAACAGUGGUGCUUACAACUUCAGAAAGAACAACAGCAGAAACCACGCCUACAGCUUCAUCAACCACAUCUACAACAACAAACGAUCCAACAACAUCAACAGCUGUAACUUCAGAAUCCACGACUCUCACUUCAACAACAAUGCCUAGAUCUUCAGAAACAACUGCACCUGUAACAACUUCAGUAACUACAGCAUCCUCAACUACUGAAAUUCCCACAACCACAGUUGUGAGUACAGAAACCACAUCUAUUACUUCAACAGUGGUGCUUACAACUUCAGAAAGAACAACAGCAGAAACCACGCCUACAGCUUCAUCAACCACAUCUACAACAACAAACGAUCCAACAACAUCAACAGCUGUAACUUCAGAAUCCACGACUCUCACUUCAACAACAAUGCCUAGAUCUUCAGAAACAACUGCACCUGUAACAACUUCAGUAACUACAGCAUCCUCAACUACUGAAAUUCCCACAACCACAGUUGUGAGUACAGAAACCACAUCUAUUACUUCAACAGUGGUGCUUACAACUUCAGAAAGUACAACAGCAGAAACCACGACUACAGCUUCAUUAACCACACCUCCAGCAACAAAGGAUCCAACAACAUCAACAGCUGUAACUUCAGAAUCCACGACUCUCACUUCAACAACAAUGCCUACAUCUACAGAAACAACUGCACCCGUAACAACUUCAGUAACUACAGCAUCCUCAACUACUGAAAUUCCCACAACCACAGUUGUGAGUACAGAAACAACAUCUAUUACUUCAACAGUGGUGCCUACAACUUCAGAAAGUACAACAGCAGAAACCACGACUACAGCUUCAUCAACAACACCUACAACAACAAACGAUCCAACAACAUCAACAGCUGUAACUUCAGAAUCCACAACUCUCACUUCAACAACAAUGCCUACAUCUUCAGAAACAACUACACCCGUAACAACUUCAGUAAUCACAGCCUCCUCAGCUACUGAAAUUCUCACAACCACAGUUGUGAGUACAGAAACAACAUCUAUUACUUCAACAGUGGUGCCUACAACUUCAGAAAGUGCAACAGCAGAAACCACGACUACAGCUUCAUCAACAACACCUACAACAUCAAACGAUCCAACAACAUCAACAGCUGUAACUUCAGAAUCCACAACUCUCACUUCAACAACAAUGCCUACAUCUUCAGAAACAACUACACCCGUAACAACUUCAGUAAUCACAGCCUCCUCAACUACUGAAAUUCCCACAACCACAGUUGUGAGUACAGACACAACACCAAUUACUUCAACAUUGGUGCCUACAACUUCAGAAAGUGCAACAGCAGAAACCACGACUACAGCUUCAUCAACAACACCUACAACAACAAACGAUCCAACAACAUCAACAGCUGUAACUUCAGAAUCCACAACUCUCACUUCAACAACAAUGCCUACAUCUACAGAAACAACUGCACCUGUAACAACUUCAGUAUCUACAGCAUUCUCAACUACUGAAAUUCCCACAACCACAGUUGUGAGUACAGACACAACACCAAUUACUUCAACAGUGGUGCCUACAACUUCAGAAAGUACAACAGCAGAAACCACGACUACAGCUUCAUCAACAACAUCAACAGCUGUCACUUCACAAUCCACAACUCUCCCUUCAACAACAUUGCCUACAUCUUCAGAACCAACUACACCCGUAACAACUUCAGUAUCUACAGCAUUCUCAACUACUGAAAUUCCCACAACCACAGUUGUGAGUACAGACACAACACCAAUUACUUCAACAGUGGUGCCUACAACUUCAGAAAGUACAACAGCAGAAACCACGACUACAGCUAUAUCAACCACACCUAUAACAAAUGAUCCAACAACAUCAACAGCUGUCACUUCACAAUCCACAACUCUCACUUCAACAACAAUGCCUACAUCUUCAGAAACAACUACACCCGUAACAGCUUCAGUAAUUACAGCCUCCUCAACUACUGAAAUUCCCACAACCACAGUUGUGAGUACAGAAACAACAUCUAUUACUUCAACAGUGGUGCCUACAAAUUCAGAGAGUACAACAGCAGAAACCACGACUACAGCUUCAUCAACAACACCUACAACAACAAACGACCCAACAACAUCAACAGCUGUAACUUCAGAAUCCACAACUCUCACUUCAACAACAAUGCCGACAACUACAGAAACAACUGCACCCGUAACAACUUCAGUAACUACAGCAUCCUCAACUACUGAAAUUCCCACAACCAAAGUUUUGAGUACAGAAACCACAUCAAUUAGUUCAACAGUAGUGCCUACAACUUCAGAGAGUAAAACAGCAGAAAUCACAACUACAGCUUCAUCAACCACACCUACAACAACAAACGAACCAACAACAUCAACAGCUGUAACUUCAGAAUCCACAACUCUCACUUCAACAACAAUGCCGACAACUACAGAAACAACUGCACCCGUAACAACUUCAGUAUCUACAGCAUCCUCAACUACUGAAAUUCCCACAACCACAGUUGUGAGUACAGAAACAACAUCUAUUACUUCAACAGUGGUGCCUACAACUUCAGAAAGUACAACAGCAGAAACCACGACUACAGCUUCAUCAACCGCACCUACAACAACAAACGAUCCAACAACAUCAACAGCUGUAACUUCAGAAUCCUCAACUCUCACUUCAACAGCAAUGCCUACAUCUACAGUAACAACUGCACCUUUAACAACAUCAGUAACUACAGAAUCCUCAACUACUGAAAUUCCCACUACCACAGUUGUGAGGACAGAAACCACACCAAUUACUUCAACAGUGGUGCCUACAACUUCAAAAAGUACAACAGCAGAAACCACGACUACAGCUUUAUCAACCACACCUACAACAACAAACGAUCCAACAAUAUCAACAGCCGUAACUUCAGAAUCCACAACUCUCACUUCAACAGUUAUACCUAUACCUUUAGAAACAGCUGCACCUGUAAAAUCAGUAACUACAGCAUCCUCAACUACUGAAAUUCCCACAACCACAGUUGUGAGUACAGAAACCACACAAAUUACUUCAACAGUGGUGCCUAUAACUUCAGAAAGUACAACAGCAGAAACCACGACUACAGCUUCAUUAACCACACCUACAGCAACAAAGGAUCCAACAACUUCAACAGCUGCAACUUCAGAAUCCACAACUCUCACUUCAACAACAAUACCUACAUCUACAGAAACAACUGCACCUGUAACAAAAUCAAUAACUACUGCAUCCUCAACUACUGAAAUUCCCACAACCACAGCUGUGAGUACAGAAACUACACAUAUUACUUCAACAGUGGUGCCUACAACUUCAGAGAGUACAACAGCGGAAACCAAGACUAGAGCUUCAUCAACCACAUCUACAACAACAAACUAUCCAACAACGCCAAUAGUUGUAACUUCAGAAUCCACAACUCUCACUUCAACAACAAUACCAACAUCUUCAGAAACAACUGCACCUUUAACAACAUCAGUAACUAAAGCAUCCUCAACUACUGAAAUUCCCACAACCACAAUUGUGAGUACAGAAACUACAGUUUCCUCAGCUACAGCUGUUCCUUCCACUGUUACAUCAACUUUAAUGUCAUCUGAAGUUCCGAGUACAACAACAUCUCAAACGACAUUGCCACUUGAAAUCACAUCUACUGGAGCUCUCACAUCCACUGUUGUGACUUCAGAAGCAACAACUUCUAUGUCUACAACAAUGCCUACAACAUCAGAAAGUACAACUACACCUGCAGCUUCCACAACCACAGUGGGGCCUUCCACCUCUGUGACUACAUCUUCCGAAACUACAACUGCAUCCUCGACAUCUGCGGCUUCCUCAACUAUGCCUUCUACUACUUCAUCAUCUCCAACCUCAUCUAAAUCUCCAGGUAUAACAACAAAUGAUCCAACAACAUCAACAGCUGUAACUUCAACAACAAUGGCUACAUCUUCAAAAACAUCUGCACCUGUAACGACAUCAGUAACUACAGCUUCCUCAACUACAACUGUAGCUUCAACAAUGACAACAGCAGCUUCUACAACCACAAAUCAACCUUCCACUAUGACAUCAGCUCCAACUUCAUCUGAUGCUCCAAGUUCAACAACAGCUCAAAUCACAAUGUCUAGUGCAGCUGCAACUACUGAAGUUGUGAGUCCAGAUACCACAACUGUUGCAUCAAAAACAAUUUCUACAAAUUCAGAAACGGCAAGUUCUCUUACAACAACCACAUCUACAGCUUUCGUCACCACAACUACAAUUACAGCAGAUAUCUCAGCUCCAGCUCCAAGCACAACAACAGCCACCAUUCCAAGUUCAACUGCAGCUCAAUCAACAACUGCAUUUCAAGUAACAACAGGAGGCCUUUUAAGAACAACUGUAGCUUUUACCAGCACAUCUUCUGCUCCAGCCACACUUGCACUUUCAACCAAAACAACUUCAAGCCCAAACAUAGAUUCAGAAACUACAACUGCAUCAACAACUACAACUGGAAUUAUUACAGGUCUCACCAGUGCAGCAGAAUUUCCAAUAGCUCCAAUAACAUCAGUUCCAAACACAAAUACGUCAACAUCCCCAGCAUCUACAACAGUCUUUCCAGGAACAACAACCAGUGUCUCUAUAACUGCUCCAAAUCUCAUAUCUGGUUCAGCAGUGGUCACAAGCAAGCUGGUGUUCAACUCCUCAUCUCCAGUCCCCAGUGAAUCUCUGGUCCUCAGUGCUAUCAAAACUCUCCGUAAUUCCAGAGAGUCACAGCUCAAGGAAUCAGUGAAGGUGGUGAAUGUCACCUAUGAGAAGAUCUCAGAAACCUCUUAUGCUGUGGUCUUUACAUUUAACGUGAUUAACAUCAGUAUUCCAGAGGACCCUGCAUCUAGAGGCAACACCAACCAGCAAGUGCAGGAUACCAUCAAUAAUGCGCUGAACACUCUUCUGAAUGAACCUGGUAGUCCAAAUUUACAACCCAAGUCCUCUAACUUCACGGGCACUUCAAUCCAGAUUAAUGGCAGGAUGGAAUACAGCUUCCAGGAUGGAGAUGUCAUACAACCAGUCAGCUUCCUCAAUGAGCUACGUCUACCAACCACUACAACAGUCUUUCCAGGAACAACAACCAGUGUCUCUAUUACUGCUCCAAAUCUCAUAUCUGGUUCAGCAGUGGUCACAAGCAAGCUGGUGUUCAACUCCUCAUCUCCAGUCCCCAGUGAAUCUCUGGUCCUCAGUGCUAUCAAAACUCUCCGUAAUUCCAGAGAGUCGCAGCUCAAUGAAUCGGUGUAG